AGGACACAACUGUUGGAAAUGACGACCUCGCCCUUAUGGCACGGCAGCACACUACACAAACACAGGCUGUGAGGAAGAAAGUAGGCGGAGGAUGGGAUCCCACAUAUACAAAGAGAAGUUUUUUCCCAUAUUGGAGAUCAGUGUUACAAGCUCGGUUUCCUUUGAAGGUGUAUCCAGCCUAUGCAAGCUCAGAUCGUAUGGCUGGGCUUCGUGGACAACUCCAUGUCUCUCUGAGUAACAAAAUGGCCCAUGGGCCUACUCCUACUCCAAAUCAUAAACUUGGUCCAAUGCGGAGAAUCUCGCCACUUACAAGCAAUAAUCAACCCAGAAGGUGUUUUGUCACUGCUGCUACUGGUGCAUUCAGGCUCUUGAAGGUGCUAAAGUAGGAGUAGAAAGGAGGCUCAACUUCUUCGCGAUAAUUGGCUAAUACUCUG
Triticum dicoccoides is the source of this 434-nucleotide long non-coding RNA. RefSeq lists it as uncharacterized. The transcript has 3 exons. Lineage: Eukaryota; Viridiplantae; Streptophyta; Magnoliopsida; Poales; Poaceae. The record is from RefSeq and is a predicted model, not a curated record.